RNAcentral lists this ribosomal RNA (453 nucleotides) under Triticum aestivum (bread wheat). RNAcentral describes it as "partial small subunit ribosomal RNA". The record is from RNAcentral. Lineage: Eukaryota; Viridiplantae; Streptophyta; Magnoliopsida; Poales; Poaceae.
AUGUUUCUUUCCAGGGAUUGGAUGAUCAACAGUGAUGUAUCUCUGACUUGGUCACUCCCAAAGAUGACUGGAGUUGAUACAAAUGCUUCUGUGCCUGGGGUUAGCGACCCCGGUGCUGCUCUUAAUGAUCAGUAUGCUGUACUUAUAUCAUAUAGCUGCAAUUAUACAGAAUCAAAGCUUUUCUUUAAGCAAGCCACGAGCUGGCAACCCCGUGCAGCUAGUGAUCUUAUAAUCUCUGUAUCUUCAGAACUGUCAUUACGAUAUCCUAGCCUGAGUGCUCGAGUUCCUCAACAAGCAUCUGGUUCUUCUUCAGUUGUAUCAUUGAACUCAGCUCCAACCACACCAGAUAGUUGUUAUGACAAUCUUAAUGAGCCUAUGAGAAGGUCUGGCUUGGGAAAACAUGGAAAUGGUUCUCGGAGACUAAAUUCAUUUGUUAGUGGCUCUCCAGAAUAA